Molecule: transfer RNA, 85 nt
Organism: Felis catus (domestic cat)
Lineage: Eukaryota; Metazoa; Chordata; Mammalia; Carnivora; Felidae
Rfam family: tRNA
About the family: Transfer RNA (tRNA) molecules are approximately 80 nucleotides in length.
Source: Rfam
GCCUGGGUGGCUCAGUCGGUUGAGCGUCCGACUGCAGCUCGGGUCACGAUCUCACAGUUUGCGGGUUCGAGCCCCUCGUCGGGCU